UACGUAGGGUGCAAGCGUUGUCCGGAAUCACUGGGCUUAAAGGGCGCGUAGGCGGGCUGCCAAGUUUGGGGUGAAAUCCUCCGGCUCAACCGGGGAAGUGCCUUGAAUACUGGCGGUCUGGAGGGAGGUAGGGGCGUGCGGAACUGUAGGUGGAGCGGUGAAAUGCGUUGAUAUCUACAGGAACUCCGGUGGCGAAGGCGGCACGCUGGACCUUUUCUGACGCUGAGGCGCGAAAGCCAGGGGAGCGAACGGG
This 253-nucleotide ribosomal RNA is filed under the name uncultured bacterium. RNAcentral describes it as "partial 16S ribosomal RNA". It matches the Rfam family "Bacterial small subunit ribosomal RNA", at positions 524 to 776 of the family's 1533-position model. The record is from RNAcentral.